CCCCACCUACUCCCCAAUCCGUUUAUUAGUCCCCUUCCGCAAAUGGCUCCGUGGCCGCGUUCCCAAACUGUCCCAGCCAGUGUACACUCUUCGGAUUGGGGUUGCAGAACAGUAGCACGUGAAUAAUUUGUCCCCAGCAGAGCCACCGUAGCUUGCUUCUAGGCGCGUGCGCGGUCUGUGCGGCGAGUACGCGGCAAGUGGUAGCGCCCCCGCGCCGGGGUCCGGAGAUGCCCCACAUAUCACCAAUGGCCACCACCUCUGCGUCUCCCCUUUAGGAGAGUGUGCUUGGGAGCCGAAGGAUUCCAAGCCAAGAUGAGAAAACACGAGCCCACAGAUCGCUCUCUGUCUCACCCAGAGGGCGAGCCCAGCACUCAGGAUGGUCUCGUGUUAUGUGGUGCAUCAGCCUGUCGCUGUCCUGACUCCCAUCUCCAGUCACCUGGCGUCCUUACUCCUUGAAACUCCAGGAAGACCUUUCCGAACAUGCACUCGUGCUUUCUUUUUGAAAUUUUGUGGUUUAUUUUAUGUUCAGCUCCUUGACACAUGCUACAUCUUUGAUAAUUUGGAUUUAAAUCUUUGAGGCGCCAGAAAGGGAAGGAUGCGGCAGGAAUCCAGCUUUUCCUUGCUAACAAUUUGUCAGCGGAUCCGUGUUUUUCCCCCUCCUUUUUUAAAAUGUCACCUUUACCAGAAACUAAAAUGCCAUAUGUAUUUGGGUCUAUUUUUGGAUUCUCUAUUUUGUUUCACGGAUGUCUGUUUUUUCCCCCCCAGCAUUAAAACAGUUUUACAUUUUGCUCACUGCCUGAGUUUUACUAAGCAGAAGCAUUCUUUUUCCUCAACCAAAGAGUCAAAGCUAAACUCAGGCACAAAGCAUACAGGCAGUGCAGUGCAUCUGAGCAGGGCUGUGUGGAAGGAAGGUGAAUGUGUGGCCACUGGCAAAGGGUAGUGGGUUGUAGGUGCCAGGCGUACAAAGGUGUAAUGUUCUUGUAGAUUCUUGAUUGGGAAGGAAUGCUCUGUGCACACAUAAAACUGCACGUUAGGCAAAUAAUACAUAAUCGGCCCAGUAUCUUGGGGCAAAGUCUGAUUUCAUUUGAAAGAAGUCGUGUACCUAGUGACUCGCUGAUUAAUUAUUCUUAAUUUAAGUGGUUAACAGUGCAACCAAGCUGCAGGCAUCUGGUUUCCCGUGGCUGCGGGAAGGAGGUGAGCAGUGACCUGCUUCACAGAAAUGGGAACUGAUGUCGUGAAUCUGGCUGCCUUCCACCUUGGAGAAGUGGCUCUGUUUUCUGGAAAGAACAAGGCCUUUAAAUAACCCAAUAUGCUUUAAUUUUACUAUUUUGGAUGGUUAGCUCUCUCACAGGCACGGCAGCCAUCCUUCUCUUAUGUGUAAAAUGUUCAUGACCGUAGUUCAGGCACAGUUGUUAAAUAAAUGAGGUAGUACAGGCAAGCCACAGUCCCGGGGCCACCUGAUCCUUCUGGCCUGUCUUGGAGCAGCCACUCUUGGACUCUUUUUAUAUUUGAUUUUUCUCAUGGUUGCCUCCUUACCUCUGUGUAUUAUAUGUGUGCUGCUCCUUGAUACAUCAAUUUUAAUUAUUAUUAUUUUUUAUAUUUUUUAAGAGAGGGA
Molecule: long non-coding RNA, 1615 nt
Organism: Herpailurus yagouaroundi (jaguarundi)
Lineage: Eukaryota; Metazoa; Chordata; Mammalia; Carnivora; Felidae
Exons: 5
Source: RefSeq, a predicted model, not a curated record